Molecule: ribosomal RNA, 595 nt
Filed under: Microbacterium sp.
Lineage: Bacteria; Bacillati; Actinomycetota; Actinomycetes; Micrococcales; Microbacteriaceae
Description: bacterial SSU rRNA
Rfam family: Bacterial small subunit ribosomal RNA
Source: RNAcentral
GGGCUCGCGGCCUAUCAGCUUGUUGGUGAGGUAAUGGCUCACCAAGGCGUCGACGGGUAGCCGGCCUGAGAGGGUGACCGGCCACACUGGGACUGAGACACGGCCCAGACUCCUACGGGAGGCAGCAGUGGGGAAUAUUGCACAAUGGGCGGAAGCCUGAUGCAGCAACGCCGCGUGAGGGAUGACGGCCUUCGGGUUGUAAACCUCUUUUAGCAGGGAAGAAGCGAGAGUGACGGUACCUGCAGAAAAAGCGCCGGCUAACUACGUGCCAGCAGCCGCGGUAAUACGUAGGGCGCAAGCGUUAUCCGGAAUUAUUGGGCGUAAAGAGCUCGUAGGCGGUUUGUCGCGUCUGCUGUGAAAUCCCGAGGCUCAACCUCGGGCCUGCAGUGGGUACGGGCAGACUAGAGUGCGGUAGGGGAGAUUGGAAUUCCUGGUGUAGCGGUGGAAUGCGCAGAUAUCAGGAGGAACACCGAUGGCGAAGGCAGAUCUCUGGGCCGUAACUGACGCUGAGGAGCGAAAGGGUGGGGAGCAAACAGGCUUAGAUACCCUGGUAGUCCACCCCGUAAACGUUGGGAACUAGUUGUGGGGACCAUUC